CCUACGGGAGGCAGCAGUAAGGAAUAUUGGUCAAUGGACGAAAGUCUGAACCAGCCAUGCCGCGUGAAGGAUUAAGGCCCUCUGGGUUGUAAACUUCUUUUAUCUGGGACGAAAAAAGGGUAUUCUUACUCACUUGACGGUACCAGAGGAAUAAGCACCGGCUAACUCCGUGCCAGCAGCCGCGGUAAUACGGAGGGUGCAAGCGUUAUCCGGAUUUACUGGGUUUAAAGGGUGCGUAGGUGGGUUUGUAAGUCAGUGGUGAAAUCUCCGAGCUUAACUCGGAAACUGCCAUUGAUACUAUAGAUCUUGAAUUAUCUGGAGGUAAGCGGAAUAUGUCAUGUAGCGGUGAAAUGCUUAGAUAUGACAUAGAACACCAAUUGCGAAGGCAGCUUACUACGGAUAUAUUGACACUGAGGCACGAAAGCGUGGGGAUCAAACAGGAUUAGAUACCCUGGUAGUCCACGACCUAACGACUAGAUACUACGACANACANCGAUACACUGUUGUGU
Molecule: ribosomal RNA, 509 nt
Filed under: uncultured bacterium
Lineage: Bacteria
Description: bacterial SSU rRNA
Rfam family: Bacterial small subunit ribosomal RNA
Source: RNAcentral